ACUAUGCGGCGCUUCAAAUAUACCGCAGGCUUGCAUGACACAUUGGUGAAGGUCUUGUUCAUUUUUUGUCUCGACUGCUACAGUAUGCACUUCAGCAGUAAGUUUUUUCGGUCCUGUACUCCCGACAAAUGAUAAUUUUGGCAGCUGAUGGCCAAAGAACCUCUGGGAAAGCUAGGGUUCAAAGACCUGAUGGACAAACCCAGCCAGGAGGCACAAGGAGGCCAAACCCUGAACUUCCCUUCCUAUACAGAUGGAUAAGAUCAUUGUUGUAAAACAUUUUUUAACCUUUAACUGCUGCAGUGAUAUACUAAACAUGAGAUAGUGUCCCCUCUUCCUCUCCAUGUGUAUACAAUUAAAAUGCAAUAUUGUGGACGGCGUUUCAAGCUUCGUAUAAAUAUUUAGGUAAAUGAA
Oncorhynchus nerka (sockeye salmon) is the source of this 411-nucleotide long non-coding RNA. RefSeq lists it as uncharacterized. The transcript is spliced from 2 exons. NCBI's taxonomy places the organism in Eukaryota, Metazoa, Chordata, Actinopteri, Salmoniformes, Salmonidae. The record is from RefSeq and is a predicted model, not a curated record.